CGUGAGUGAUGAAGGCCUUCGGGUUGUAAAGCUCGUGUGGGGGCGAGACGAAUAAGUGCAGCCUAAUACGUUGCAUGAUGACGGUAUCGCCUUAGCAAGCACCGGCUAACUCUGUGCCAGCAGCCGCGGUAAGACAGAGGGUGCAAACGUUGUUCGGAAUUACUGGGCGUAAAGCGAGUGUAGGCGGUCUGUAAAGUCAGGUGUGAAAGCCCCGGGCUCAACCCGGGAAGUGCACUUGAAACUCACAGGCUAGAGUAUCGGAGAGGUUGGUGGAAUUCUCGGUGUAGAGGUGAAAUUCGUAGAUAUCGAGAGGAACACCGGUGGCGAAGGCGGCCAACUGGACGAAUACUGACGCUGAGACUCGAAAGCGUGGGGAGCAAACAGGAUUAGAUACCCUGGUAGUCCACGCCGUAAACGAUGGGUGCUAGGUGUCGCGGGCUUUGACUCCCGCGGUGCCGUAGCUAACGCAUUAAGCACCCCGCCUGGGAAGUACGGCCGCAAGGCUA
This 506-nucleotide ribosomal RNA is filed under the name uncultured Pseudomonadota bacterium. RNAcentral's name for it is "bacterial SSU rRNA". It matches the Rfam family "Bacterial small subunit ribosomal RNA", at positions 400 to 896 of the family's 1533-position model. Lineage: Bacteria; Pseudomonadati; Pseudomonadota. The record is from RNAcentral.